Molecule: ribosomal RNA, 450 nt
Filed under: uncultured bacterium
Lineage: Bacteria
Description: partial 16S ribosomal RNA
Rfam family: Bacterial small subunit ribosomal RNA
Source: RNAcentral
CCUACGGGAGGCUGCAGUGGGGAAUAUUGGACAAUGGGCGCAAGCCUGAUCCAGCAAUGCCGCGUGUGUGAAGAAGGCCUGCGGGUUGUAAAGCACUUUAAGCAGGAAAGAAGGGGUGGAAGUUAAUACCUUUCAUCAUUGACGUUACCUGCAGAAUAAGCACCGGCUAACUCCGUGCCAGCAGCCGCGGUAAUACGGAGGGUGCAAGCGUGGAGCGGAGUUACUGGGCGUAAUUCGAUCGUACGCGGGUGAAAGCCCCGGGCUUAACCUGGGAACUGCGGUGGAUACUGUCGAGCUAGAGUGUGGUAGAGGGGAGUGGAAGUUCCGGUGUAGCAGUGAAAUGCGUAGAGAUCGGAAGGAACACCAGUGGCGAAGGCGGCUCCCUGGACUAACACUGACGCUGAGGUGCGAAAGCGUGGGGAGCAAACAGGAUUAGAUACCCUAGUAGUC